UAAGGAAUAUUGGGCAAUGGAGGCAACUCUGAACCAGCCAAGUCGCGUGAAGGAAGAAGGUUCUAUGGAUUGUAAACUUCUUUUGCAGGGGAAUAAAGGACGGUACGUGUACUGUUUUGUAUGUACCUUGCGAAUAAGGAUCGGCUAACUCCGUGCCAGCAGCCGCGGUAAUACGGAGGAUCCGAGCGUUAUCCGGAUUUAUUGGGUUUAAAGGGUGCGUAGGUGUAUUGUUAAGUCAGUGGUGAAAGUUUUCAGCUAAACUGAAAAAUUGCCGUUGAAACUGUCGAUCUUGAGUGCAAAUGAGGUAGGCGGAAUGUGUUGGGUAGCGGUGAAAUGCUUAGAUAUAACACAGAACUCCGAUUGCGAAGGCAGCUUACUGGGAUGCAACUGACACUGAUGCACGAAAGCGUGGGUAUCAAACA
RNAcentral lists this ribosomal RNA (422 nucleotides) under uncultured prokaryote. Its description in RNAcentral is "bacterial SSU rRNA". It matches the Rfam family "Bacterial small subunit ribosomal RNA", at positions 355 to 774 of the family's 1533-position model. The record is from RNAcentral.